RNAcentral lists this ribosomal RNA (429 nucleotides) under Actinomycetes bacterium. RNAcentral's name for it is "Actinobacteria bacterium partial 16S ribosomal RNA". It matches the Rfam family "Bacterial small subunit ribosomal RNA", at positions 355 to 776 of the family's 1533-position model. Lineage: Bacteria; Bacillati; Actinomycetota; Actinomycetes. The record is from RNAcentral.
UGGGGAAUUUUGGACAAUGGGCGAAAGCCUGAUCCAGCAAUGCCGCGUGUGUGAAGAAGGCCUUCGGGUUGUAAAGCACUUUUGUCCGGAAAGAAAUGGCUCUGGUUAAUACCUGGGGUCGAUGACGGUACCGGAAGAAUAAGGACCGGCUAACUACGUGCCAGCAGCCGCGGUAAUACGUAGGGUCCAAGCGUUAAUCGGAAUUACUGGGCGUAAAGCGUGCGCAGGCGGUUGUGCAAGACCGAUGUGAAAUCCCCGAGCUUAACUUGGGAAUUGCAUUGGUGACUGCACGGCUAGAGUGUGUCAGAGGGGGGUAGAAUUCCACGUGUAGCAGUGAAAUGCGUAGAGAUGUGGAGGAAUACCGAUGGCGAAGGCAGCCCCCUGGGAUAACACUGACGCUCAUGCACGAAAGCGUGGGGAUCAAACAGG